Molecule: ribosomal RNA, 253 nt
Filed under: uncultured bacterium
Lineage: Bacteria
Description: partial 16S ribosomal RNA
Rfam family: Bacterial small subunit ribosomal RNA
Source: RNAcentral
UACGAAGGGGGCUAGCGUUGUUCGGAAUUACUGGGCGUAAAGCGCGCGUAGGCGGACAUUUAAGUCAGGGGUGAAAUCCCGGAGCUCAACUCCGGAACUGCCUUUGAUACUGGGUGUCUUGAGUGUGGAAGAGGUGAGUGGAAUUCCGAGUGUAGAGGUGAAAUUCGUAGAUAUUCGGAGGAACACCAGUGGCGAAGGCGGCUCACUGGUCCAUUACUGACGCUGAGGUGCGAAAGCGUGGGGAGCAAACAGG